Phrynosoma platyrhinos (Desert horned lizard) is the source of this 72-nucleotide non-coding RNA. Lineage: Eukaryota; Metazoa; Chordata; Lepidosauria; Squamata; Phrynosomatidae. The record is from the annotation of a GenBank genome assembly.
AGUUGUGUGGCGUUGUGGUUUGAGCACUGGACUAUGAUUCUGGAGACCAGGGUUUGAUUCCCGGCUCAGCCA